Molecule: small RNA, 553 nt
Filed under: Pongo abelii (Sumatran orangutan)
Lineage: Eukaryota; Metazoa; Chordata; Mammalia; Primates; Hominidae
Description: processed transcript
Source: RNAcentral
CACUUCCGGCCGGGACCCCGGAGGCGGAGGCGGCGGCGGCAGCGUAGCCGUAGAGGUGCACAGAGAAUACCCCUAGCAUGAACAGUGUGAGGAUUCCACCAGCUUUUUCACCAUGAAGGAGACAGACCGGGAGGCCGUUGCAACAGCAGUGCAAAGGGUUGCUGGGAUGCUCCAACGCCCGGACCAGCUGGACAAGGUGGAGCAGUAUCGCAGGAGAGAAGCGCGGAAGAAGGCCUCUGUGGAGGCCAGAUUGAAGAGAGCGGAUCUGAAGCUCAGGUGCCGAUUCUGUCCUGUGGGUCAGCCAUCCUGGGGCCAAGUGUGGUCCUGGCUGAACAGCAGGAACUCCCCCGCCCCAAGCCAGUGAAGUCCUGACCGUUUUCUCUGCCUAGAUAAGACCUUUUAGGAAACUAGGAUGCCUGGGAGAGCAUGGGUGACAUCCUUCUGAAGGUACCAUAGCAGGCCAUGGUCCAGGGCAGACUGGUGGUAGUGUCCAGGAUCACCAGGUGUAAGGCUAGAUGAGGAGUGUCCUGACGUCUUCUCAUCAAGGCUUUAA